CCUACGGGUGGCAGCAGUGAGGAAUAUUGGUCAAUGGGCGGAAGCCUGAACCAGCCAAGUCGCGUGCAGGAUGACGGCCCUAUGGGUUGUAAACUGCUUUUAUACGGGAAUAACGCGCCUUACGUGUAGGCCUUUGCAUGUACCGUAUGAAUAAGGACCGGCUAAUUCCGUUCCAGCAGCCGCGGGAAUACGGAAGGUCCGGGCGUUAUUCGGAUUUUUUGGGUUUUAAGGGAGGGUAGGCCGGAUGUCAAGCGUGCUGUGAAAUGUCCGGGCUCAACCCGGGCCUUGCAGCGGAAACUGGCGUGCUUGAGUGCGCGAAAAGCAGGCGGAAUGCGUGGUGUAGCGGUGAAAUGCUUAGAUAUGACGAAGAACCCCGAUUGCGAAGGCAGCUUGCUGCAGCGGAACUGACGCUGAUGCACGAAAGCGCGGGUAUCGAACAGGAUUAGAUACCCCAGUAGUC
RNAcentral lists this ribosomal RNA (460 nucleotides) under uncultured bacterium. Its description in RNAcentral is "partial 16S ribosomal RNA". It matches the Rfam family "Bacterial small subunit ribosomal RNA", at positions 338 to 795 of the family's 1533-position model. The record is from RNAcentral.